GCCAAAAAGUUCGUUCGGAUUUUUCCGGAAGCUGUGUGGAAAACCCGAACAAACUUUUUGGC
This is a microRNA precursor of Bos indicus x Bos taurus (hybrid cattle), 62 nucleotides long. Lineage: Eukaryota; Metazoa; Chordata; Mammalia; Artiodactyla; Bovidae. The record is from Ensembl.